ACGCUCGACACCUACGGGAGGCAGCAGUGGGGAAUAUUGCACAAUGGGGGAAACCCGUACGAUGCAGCGACGCCGCGUGGAGGAAGAAGGUCUUCGGAUUGUAAACUCCUGUUGUUGGGGAAAAAGAGGAUGGUACCCGAAACAAAGGAAGUGACGGCUAACUACGUGUCAGCAGCCGCGGUAAUCUGAGCGGGCGUGCAAGC
This 203-nucleotide ribosomal RNA is filed under the name uncultured bacterium. RNAcentral's name for it is "partial 16S ribosomal RNA". It matches the Rfam family "Bacterial small subunit ribosomal RNA", at positions 328 to 541 of the family's 1533-position model. The record is from RNAcentral.